RNAcentral lists this ribosomal RNA (467 nucleotides) under uncultured bacterium. RNAcentral's name for it is "partial 16S ribosomal RNA". It matches the Rfam family "Bacterial small subunit ribosomal RNA", at positions 29 to 507 of the family's 1533-position model. The record is from RNAcentral.
ACGAACGCUGGCGGCGUGCUUAACACAUGCAAGUCGCACGGAAAGGCCCUGCUUUUGUGGGGUGCUCGCGUGGCGAACGGGUGAGUAACACGUGAGUAACCUGCCCUUGACUUUGGGAUAACUUCAGGAAACUGGGGCUAAUACCGGAUAGGAGCUCCUGCUGCAUGGUGGGGGUUGGAACGUUUCGGCGGUUGGGGAUGGACUCGCGGCUUAUCAGCUUGUUGGUGGGGUAGUGGCUUACCAAGGCUUUGACGGGUAGCCGGCCUGAGAGGGUGACCGGCCACAUUGGGACUGAGAUACGGCCCAGACUCCUACUGGAGGCAGCAGUGGGGAAUAUUGCACAAUGGGCGGAAGCCUGAUGCAGCAACGCCGCGUGCGGGAUGACGGCCUUCGGGUUGUAAACCGCUUUCGCCUGUGACGAAGCGUGAGUGACGGUAAUGGGUAAAGAAGCACCGGCUAACUACGUG